This 641-nucleotide ribosomal RNA is filed under the name Escherichia coli. RNAcentral describes it as "bacterial SSU rRNA". It matches the Rfam family "Bacterial small subunit ribosomal RNA", at positions 879 to 1520 of the family's 1533-position model. Lineage: Bacteria; Pseudomonadati; Pseudomonadota; Gammaproteobacteria; Enterobacterales; Enterobacteriaceae. The record is from RNAcentral.
AGUACGGCCGCAAGGUUAAAACUCAAAUGAAUUGACGGGGGCCCGCACAAGCGGUGGAGCAUGUGGUUUAAUUCGAUGCAACGCGAAGAACCUUACCUGGUCUUGACAUCCACAGAACUUUCCAGAGAUGGAUUGGUGCCUUCGGGAACUGUGAGACAGGUGCUGCAUGGCUGUCGUCAGCUCGUGUUGUGAAAUGUUGGGUUAAGUCCCGCAACGAGCGCAACCCUUAUCCUUUGUUGCCAGCGGUCCGGCCGGGAACUCAAAGGAGACUGCCAGUGAUAAACUGGAGGAAGGUGGGGAUGACGUCAAGUCAUCAUGGCCCUUACGACCAGGGCUACACACGUGCUACAAUGGCGCAUACAAAGAGAAGCGACCUCGCGAGAGCAAGCGGACCUCAUAAAGUGCGUCGUAGUCCGGAUUGGAGUCUGCAACUCGACUCCAUGAAGUCGGAAUCGCUAGUAAUCGUGGAUCAGAAUGCCACGGUGAAUACGUUCCCGGGCCUUGUACACACCGCCCGUCACACCAUGGGAGUGGGUUGCAAAAGAAGUAGGUAGCUUAACCUUCGGGAGGGCGCUUACCACUUUGUGAUUCAUGACUGGGGUGAAGUCGUAACAAGGUAACCGUAGGGGAACCUGCGGUUG